Molecule: long non-coding RNA, 837 nt
Organism: Gadus chalcogrammus (walleye pollock)
Lineage: Eukaryota; Metazoa; Chordata; Actinopteri; Gadiformes; Gadidae
Exons: 3
Source: RefSeq, a predicted model, not a curated record
GCCACAGACCCACAGUAAUGCGUUCAAGGUUUGUUUUGUGACCACAUUUGGGCAGAGCACUACCACGCUACAUUCCCCAGGGUGCAGCGGCCCGCUGGACACUGAGAACGGCUGAAACCAUCAGUUUGUCUGCUGAUUGAUUUGGGUCGGUCAGACUCCUCCCCACUCAUUGUCAUUCAUAUGUGAAACCGAAGGCCCAGCGGACAAGGAAUAGUCUGCCACCGAAAAUCAGGAAGGCGGACUGCUGGGAAAUUCCAUCCAAACGGAAAACCUUCCUCUUGAAUCUCCGUAUGGCUGAAGAGUGAAUACUUGAGGCAGAGGAGGAUGAGGAGGAUCAACAUAAAUGAACAGGGAGGAAGGGCGUUGACAACAUGUUGUUGGGAGAAACUUCCUUACCAAAUAUCUCUCCCAAAAGACUAGAGAUCUCACAGGGCCUGAGUUCUAGUCCAUGCGUUCUAUAACUCGAUUAUGUACUCUGCUUUUCAUCUGCUUUCAAAAACACGAUGUAUGAGAUGAACAUAUAUGGCUCUCUGUGGAAGCCAAGUCAAAGCAGAGAGAGAAGAGGGAUGGAGAAAAAGAUGUGUUCAGAGAGGAAGCCAUAGAGAGAGAGAAACAGGCAGAGAGAGCUAGAGGACGAAGCCAGAGAGAGAGAGAAACAGGCAGAGAGCUAGAGGACGAAGCCAUAGAGAGAGAGAAACAGGCAGAGAGCUAGAGGACGAAGCCAUAGAGAGAGAGAAACAGGCAGAGAGCUAGAGGACGAAGCCAUAGAGAGAGAGAAACAGGCAGAGAGAGCUAGAGGACGAAGCCAUAGAGAGAGAGAAACAGGCAGAGAGCUAG